RNAcentral lists this ribosomal RNA (2957 nucleotides) under Halomonas organivorans. RNAcentral's name for it is "23S ribosomal RNA". It matches the Rfam family "Bacterial large subunit ribosomal RNA". The record is from RNAcentral. Lineage: Bacteria; Pseudomonadati; Pseudomonadota; Gammaproteobacteria; Oceanospirillales; Halomonadaceae.
GGUCAAGCGAUGAAGCGCAUACGGUGGAUGCCUUGGCAGCCAGAGGCGAUGAAGGACGUGGAAGCCUGCGAUAAGGCUCGGCGAGGUGGCAAACAACCUGCGACCCGGGCAUUUCCGAAUGGGGAAACCCACUCAGGGUAACCUGAGUAUCCUGUACUGAAUCCAUAGGUGCAGGAGGCGAACCGGGGGAACUGAAACAUCUAAGUACCCCGAGGAAAAGAAAUCAACCGAGAUUCCCCCAGUAGCGGCGAGCGAACGGGGACUAGCCCUUAAGCGGGUGACAGGUUAGGCGAAUGAGUUGGGAAACUCAGCGAUACAGGGUGAUAGCCCCGUAGUCGAAAGCCUGAUCCCGUGAAAUCGAGUAGGUCGGGGCACGUGAAACCUUGACUGAAGACGGGGGGACCAUCCUCCAAGGCUAAAUACUCCUGGCUGACCGAUAGUGAACCAGUACCGUGAGGGAAAGGCGAAAAGAACCCCGGAGAGGGGAGUGAAAUAGAUCCUGAAACCGUAUGCGUACAAGCAGUGGGAGCCCCUUCGUGGGGUGACCGCGUACCUUUUGUAUAAUGGGUCAGCGACUUAUUUUCAGUGGCGAGCUUAACCGUAUAGGGGAGGCGUAGGGAAACCGAGUCUUAACUGGGCGACCAGUCGCUGGAAAUAGACCCGAAACCGGGCGAUCUAUCCAUGAGCAGGUUGAAGGUUGAGUAACAUCAACUGGAGGACCGAACCAGGAUCUGUUGAAAAAGAUUUGGAUGACUUGUGGAUCGGAGUGAAAGGCUAAUCAAGCCCGGAGAUAGCUGGUUCUCCUCGAAAGCUAUUUAGGUAGCGCCUCACGUAUCACCGCCGGGGGUAGAGCACUGUUUCGGCUAGGGGGUCAUCCCGACUUACCAACCCGAGGCAAACUCCGAAUACCGGUGAGUGCAGCGUGGGAGACACACAGCGGGUGCUAACGUCCGUUGUGAAAAGGGAAACAACCCAGACCGUCAGCUAAGGUCCCGAAAUCCUGGUUAAGUGGGAAACGAUGUGGGAAGGCUUAGACAGCUAGGAGGUUGGCUUAGAAGCAGCCAUCCUUUAAAGAAAGCGUAAUAGCUCACUAGUCGAGUCGGCCUGCGCGGAAGAUGUAACGGGGCUCAAACCAGGUACCGAAGCUACGGGUGUGUCGAAUGACACGCGGUAGAGGAGCGUCGUGUACGCCGACGAAGGUGUGUCGAGAGGCAUGCUGGAGGUAUCACGAGUGCGAAUGCUGACAUGAGUAACGAUAAGGGGAGUGAAAAACUCCCCCGCCGGAAGACCAAGGGUUUCUGUUCGACGCUAAUCGGAGCAGAGUGAGUCGGCCCCUAAGGCGAGGCCGAAAGGCGUAGUCGAUGGGAAACGGGUCAAUAUUCCCGUACCUCACUGUAUUGCGAUGGGGGGACGAAGAAGGCUAGGUGAGCCAGGCGUUGGUUGUCCUGGUGAAAGUCAGUAGGCUNNNNNNNNNNNNNNNNNNNNNNNNNNNNNNNNNNNNNNNNNNNNNNNNNNNNNNNNNNNNNNNNNNNNNNNNNNNNNNNNNNNNNNNNNNNNNNNNNNCGCCGAGAGACGAGACGAACAGACUACGGUCUGGAAGUCAUCGAUGCCACGCUUCCAGGAAAAGCCUCUAAGCUUCAGAUACAGUGGGACCGUACCCCAAACCGACACAGGUGGUCAGGUAGAGAAUACCCAGGCGCUUGAGAGAACUCGGGUGAAGGAACUAGGCAAAAUGGUGCCGUAACUUCGGGAGAAGGCACGCCGCACUAGGGUGACAGGACUUGCUCCUCGAGCCCGACGCGGUCGAAGAUACCAGGUGGCUGCAACUGUUUAUUAAAAACACAGUACUCUGCAAACGCGUAAGCGGACGUAUAGGGUAUGACGCCUGCCCGGUGCCGGAAGGUUAAUUGAUGGUGUUAGCUCACGCGAAGCUCCUGAUCGAAGCCCCGGUAAACGGCGGCCGUAACUAUAACGGUCCUAAGGUAGCGAAAUUCCUUGUCGGGUAAGUUCCGACCUGCACGAAUGGCGUAAUGAUGGCCACGCUGUCUCCACCCGAGACUCAGUGAAAUUGAAAUCGCAGUGAAGAUGCUGUGUACCCGCGGCUAGACGGAAAGACCCCGUGAACCUUUACUACAGCUUCACACUGGACGCUGAUGUUGCUUGUGUAGGAUAGCUGGGAGGCUUGGAAACCCGGUCGCCAGAUCGAGUGGAGCCAACCUUGAAAUACCAGCCUGGCAUCAUUGGCGUUCUAACUCAGGUCCGUGAUCCGGAUCGAGGACCGUGUGUGGUGGGUAGUUUGACUGGGGCGGUCUCCUCCCAAAGCGUAACGGAGGAGCACGAAGGUACCCUCAGCACGGUUGGAAAUCGUGCAAUGAGUGCAAGAGCAUAAGGGUGCUUAACUGCGAGACAGACACGUCGAGCAGGUACGAAAGUAGGUUCUAGUGAUCCGGUGGUUCUGUAUGGAAGGGCCAUCGCUCAACGGAUAAAAGGUACUCCGGGGAUAACAGGCUGAUACCGCCCAAGAGUUCACAUCGACGGCGGUGUUUGGCACCUCGAUGUCGGCUCAUCACAUCCUGGGGCUGAAGUCGGUCCCAAGGGUAUGGCUGUUCGCCAUUUAAAGUGGUACGCGAGCUGGGUUUAGAACGUCGUGAGACAGUUCGGUCCCUAUCUGCCGUGGGCGUUGGAGAUUUGAGAAGCGCUGCUCCUAGUACGAGAGGACCGGAGUGGACGUACCUCUGGUGUUCCGGUUGUCACGCCAGUGGCAUCGCCGGGUAGCUAUGUACGGACGGGAUAACCGCUGAAAGCAUCUAAGCGGGAAGCCCCCUUCAAGAUGAGAUCUCCCUGAGGCCUCGAGCCUCCUGAAGGACCCAGCAAGACCAGCUGGUUGAUAGGUCGGAUGUGGAAGCGCUGCAAGGCGUUGAGCUAACCGAUACUAAUUGUCCGUGAGGCUUGACCAU